RNAcentral lists this ribosomal RNA (400 nucleotides) under uncultured Alphaproteobacteria bacterium. Its description in RNAcentral is "bacterial SSU rRNA". It matches the Rfam family "Bacterial small subunit ribosomal RNA", at positions 29 to 455 of the family's 1533-position model. Lineage: Bacteria; Pseudomonadati; Pseudomonadota; Alphaproteobacteria. The record is from RNAcentral.
AACGAACGCUGGCGGCAUGCCUCAUACAUGCAAGUCGAACGAAGUCUUCGGACUUAGUGGCGCACGGGUGAGUAACAUGUGGGAAUCUACCUAAAGGUUCGGAAUAACUGCGGGAAACUGUAGCUAAUACCGGAUGUGUCUGCAAAGAGAAAGAUUUAUCGCCUUUAGAUGAGCCCGCACUAGAUUAGCUAGUUGGUGAGGUAACUGCUCCACCAAGGCUACGAUCUAUAGCUGAUUUGAGAGGAUGAUCAGCCACACUGGGACUGAGACACGGCCCAGACUCCUACGGGAGGCAGCAGUAGGGAAUAUUGGACAAUGGGGGAAACCCUGAUCCAGCAAUGCCGCGUGAGUGAAGAAGGCCCUCGGGUUGUAAAACUCUUUCAUCAAUGAUGAUAAUGAC